Molecule: ribosomal RNA, 111 nt
Filed under: candidate division WS2 bacterium ADurb.Bin280
Lineage: Bacteria
Source: RNAcentral
GGUGAUUUUGCUGACGGGGGUACACCUCUUCCCAUUCCGAACAGAGAAGUUAAGCCCGUCUAGGCCGAUGGUACUUGCGCCGCAAGGCGCCGGGAGAGUAGGACGUCGCCA